Molecule: transfer RNA, 68 nt
Rfam family: tRNA
About the family: Transfer RNA (tRNA) molecules are approximately 80 nucleotides in length. Their secondary structure includes four short double-helical elements and three loops (D, anti-codon, and T loops). Further hydrogen bonds mediate the characteristic L-shaped molecular structure. tRNAs have two regions of fundamental functional importance: the anti-codon, which is responsible for specific mRNA codon recognition, and the 3' end, to which the tRNAs corresponding amino acid is attached (by aminoacyl-tRNA synthetases). tRNAs cope with the degeneracy of the genetic code in two manners: having more than one tRNA (with a specific anti-codon) for a particular amino acid; and 'wobble' base-pairing, i.e. permitting non-standard base-pairing at the 3rd anti-codon position.
UGAACAUAGUUUAUCAAAAUUUUAGUUUGUGAAUCUAAAGAUGAAGAUUAAUUAUCUUCUGUUCACCG